Molecule: long non-coding RNA, 557 nt
Filed under: Lathyrus oleraceus (garden pea)
Lineage: Eukaryota; Viridiplantae; Streptophyta; Magnoliopsida; Fabales; Fabaceae
Description: Pisum sativum (pea) long non-coding RNA (PSAT_LNC034106)
Source: RNAcentral
GAGAACAACAAGAGUGGAUCCCGUAGAGUACUACGGAUGCGUAGGGGUGCUGUAACACCCCAAAAUUUGCCCUCCUCAUUCAUGCAUUAAUUUUUAGUUCAUUUAACAUUUCAUAUUGCAUUUCAUCAUGUCAAUCAAAAUCAGAUCCAAGAAACUUUAUCUAAAAAAAAAGAAAAAAAACGGAAAAGAAAAAAAAACGAAAACGAAAAAAAAAAAGAAAAAGAAAAAGAAAAAAUUAAUUAAUUAAAUAAAUAAAUAAAUAAAAUAAAAUAUAACAGAAUUUUUUUUGGACUUGGGUCUCUCUCAUUUGAGCCCACAAAGCCAUGAAAUUCAGUCUAUAAAUACCAAGGCUUCACUUGAGAAAAAGGAAGAGAAGCAAAACACUCUGAGGUUUCCUUGGGACAAAACCUGGAGAGAAACCUGACGGAGAACUCAGAGCAGCCUCCAAACCCUGAAGGGAACUCAACUGCACAGAAUCACCUCUGCCUCACAUAAACCCUAAAGAUUGUUUUGUAAACCUCACUGGUGCAACUCAAUUUCAAUCAAGCUCUCCAAUC